CUGACUGCUAUCGGAUUGGUACUAAGCCAUGCGAGUCAUAGAAGCAAUACAAGGCGGACGGCUCAGUAACACGUAGUCAACCUAACUCGUGGACGUGGAUAACCUCGGGAAACUGAGAAUAAACCACGAUAGGUCAUAGUGCCUGGAAUGGCUUAUGGUCCAAACAGUUUACUGCCAUGGGAUGGGACUGCGGCCUAUCAGCUUGUUGGUGAGGUAAUGGCCCACCAAGGCGAUUACAGGUACGGGCUCUGAGAGGAGAAGCCCGGAGAUGGGUACUGAGACACGGACCCAGGCCCUAUGGGGCGCAGCAGGCGAGAAACCUUAGUAAUGUGCGAAAGCACGACUGGGUCAGUCCUAGUUUUUCCUGAUAAAGGAGUCUUUUGCCUGUCCUAAAAGCACAGGUGAAUAAGGGGUGGGCAAGUCUGGUGUCAGCCGCCGCGGUAAUACCAGCACCUCGAGUGGUCAGGACGUUUAUUGGGCCUAAAGCAUCCGUAGCCGGCUCUGCAAGUCUUCGGUUAAAUCCACCUGCUCAACAGAUGGGCCGCUGGAGAUACUACAGAGCUAGGGAGUGGGAGAGGCAGACGGUAUUCAGUGGGUAGGGGUAAAAUCCUCUGAUCCAUUGAGGACCACCAGUGGCGAAGGCGGUCUGCCAGAACACGUUCGACGGUGAGGGAUGAAAGCUGGGGGAGCAAACCGGAUUAGAUACCCGGGUAGUCCCAGCUGUAAACGAUGCAAACUCGGUGAUGCAUUGGCUUAUGGGCCAAUGCAGUGCCGCAGGGAAGCCGUUAAGUUUGCCGCCUGGGAAGUACGGACGCAAGUCCGAAACUUAA
RNAcentral lists this ribosomal RNA (830 nucleotides) under uncultured soil archaeon. RNAcentral's name for it is "bacterial SSU rRNA". It matches the Rfam family "Archaeal small subunit ribosomal RNA", at positions 23 to 859 of the family's 1478-position model. The record is from RNAcentral.